GGUGAUAUAGCUCAGUUGGUAGAGUGCUUGCCUUGCAUGCACGAGGCUCUGGGUUCAAUCCCUAGCAACACAC
Molecule: non-coding RNA, 73 nt
Organism: Ictidomys tridecemlineatus (thirteen-lined ground squirrel)
Lineage: Eukaryota; Metazoa; Chordata; Mammalia; Rodentia; Sciuridae
Source: Rfam